AGGCGGGCGCGAUGGCGGAGGAGGAGCGGGCGCUGCUGGGCUCCGAUGGCGGCGAUGGCGGCGGCUCCCCGGGCCCUCCCCGCGCCCUGCCCGCCGCCUGCGACCCCCGCCGCCUCCCGCACCGCCUGCUCGUCCUGGCCCUCAUGUGCUUCCUGGGAUUCGGCAGCUACUUCUGCUACGAUAACCCGGCCGCGCUGCAGACACAGGUUCAGCGGGACAUGAAGGUGAACACAGCCCAGUUCAUGGCACUCUAUGCCUGGUACUCCUGGCCCAACGUGGUGCUGUGCUUCUUCGGAGGUUUCCUGAUAGACAGAGUCUUUGGAAUCCGGUUGGGCACUGUCAUAUUCAGCAUCUUUGUGUGUGUUGGGCAGGUGGUUUUUGCUCUGGGAGCGCUGUUCAACACCUUCUGGCUGAUGGAAGUGGGCAGAUUCAUAUUUGGGAUUGGGGGUGAGUCCUUGGCGGUGGCCCAGAACACGUAUGCAGUGAGCUGGUUCAAGGGCAAGGAGCUGAACCUGGUGUUUGGAUUGCAGCUCAGCAUGGCCAGAAUUGGGAGCACGGUGAACAUGAAUAUCAUGGGAUGGAUCUACUCCAGAGUUCAGGAUCUCCUGGGCUCUGCUGGUCCCAGCACCCUCGGCCUGGCUCUGCUCAUAGGUGGAGUCACUUGUCUGUUCUCACUGAGCUGUGCUUUGAUCCUGGCUUACCUGGACAGGAGAGCAGAGAAACUGCUUUGCAAGGAGCAGGGGAAAACAGGAGAAGUGAUCAAGCUGACGGAUGUGAAGGAUUUCUCCUUGUCCUUGUGGCUCAUCUUUGUCAUCUGUGUCUGUUACUACGCUGCAGUUUUCCCUUUCAUUGGCCUGGGGAAGGUUUUCUUUAUUGAAAAAUUCCGGUUUUCCCCUCAAGAAGCCAGUGCAAUUAACAGCGUGGUGUACAUCAUCUCAGCCCCCAUGUCCCCGGUGUUCGGGCUGCUGGUGGAUAAAGUUGGCAAGAACAUCAUCUGGGUGCUGUGUGCUGUGGUGACCACGCUGGCCUCGCACAUCCUGCUGGCCUUCACCUUCUGGAACCCCUGGAUAGCCAUGUGCCUGCUGGGUGUGGCCUAUUCCCUGCUGGCCUGUGCCCUGUGGCCCAUGGUGGCCUUCGUGGUCCCCGAGCACCAGCUGGGAACUGCCUAUGGCUUCAUGCAGUCCAUCCAGAACCUGGGCCUGGCAGUGAUUGCCAUAGCAGCUGGAAUGAUCCUGGACACCAGGGGAUACCUGUUCCUCGAGGUCUUCUUCAGUGCCUGUGUUUGCUUGUCACUGAUAGCUGUGGUGCUGCUGUACUUUGUGAAUCACCUCACAGGUGGUGAUCUCAACUGGUCUGCAAAGAAAAGGGCAAAACUGCAAAAAGCAGCUGCUUCUGACUCUGGCACGUUUUGUUUGGAGAAGCUCCUCUGCUGUUCCCUCUAGGCUGACAUUCCAUGUGUGAUCCAAGCCUGCAGCUCCUGUUUUCCUGAGCUUUAGUUCCAGUUUGUGAAUUCCCUGCACCCUUCAGGAUCCUGCUCCAGUCCUGGGGGGCUUCUGCAAAGGGGACAAAUCCCCCUGGGAGCUGCAGCCCCUGUGGCUGAGCUUGGAGAGGAGCUUUAACCCUCACUGAUGGAAACGCUGAUGGAAAACAUCUCCAAAAGAGGAAUUGACUGGACCGAUUUGCCCAGGAUGUGCUCUGUGCUCCUGCCCCAGGUGCCUGAGGAACCCUUCAGAAGCUGAAAUCGGGAACGGCUGGGAAGGGAGCUUUAUCCCAAGGAAUCCUCCCUUUUCCAGGGAUCUCUCACUAGAGGUCAGCACUGCCUCGGGAAUGUUGGAUAAUCGGGAUGGAAACCCUCCAGGCUGCCGGGGUUGGUUUUGGUGCCUGAUUCCAGCCCUGCUCCUGGCACAGGGAUCACGGGCUUUGGAGCAGCCUGGGAUGGGGGACGGUGUCCCCACCCAGGGCAGGGUGGCCUUUAAGGUCCUUCCAGCCCAAACCCAUCUGUGAUUCCAUGGAAUCCCAUGGAAUUCCAUGGGAAAAGCACCUCAACCCCUCAGUUCUCUUUGACUGAAUCAUUUCUGAGGUGAGUAAAGUCUUGGUGUUCUCCAUCAGGUUUUGGAUUCCAGGGGAGGCUCAGGGUGGAAUCAGCAGGAAUUUCCCCAUGGAAAGGGUGGUCAGGGCUUGGCAGGGGCUGCCCAGGGAGGUUUGGAGUUCCCAUCCCUGGAGGUGUCCAAGGAAUUCCUGGCCAUGUCCCCAGUGCUCUGGGCUGGAGCUUUUCCUGGGCGAGCUCCAGGGCAUGGGAAACACGGAUGGGGAUGGAUGGAGCCAUCCUGGCCAGGCUCAGGCACCUCCUGGGAUCCCAGGGUUGGAAGAGUUGUAUAAAAUCAUGGAAUUACAGGAUUGUUAAAGCUGGAAAUGAUCUUUUAAGUCAUCAUUCCAGCUCUGAGCCAGGCUGGGAUCCAGAGGAAAUUCUUUAUUCCUGUUAUUCCUGUUAUUCCUUCAGCAGCUCCUGGGGCUGGGGGUGAGUUAACGGCAGCUUGGCAUCAUUAGGUGUUAAUUUCUGAUUUCUUUAUCCUGGCAGCCUCCCCUGCUCCAUGCAUCAUUCCCAACCAGCCCAGCCCAGCCCAGCCUGCUGCUGAACGAGGACCUGGAGCCAAGUGGGAUCUCCCAGUGUUUUCCAGGUAAGGAAGAAGGAAAACCAGAAGGGAAAUGUUGUCCCAGAGCUGAGAUUUAAGGUUCAUUAUUAUUAUUAAUAAUAUUAUUAAUAAUAACACUGACAAAAUUAAUAAAUAACAAUAAUUUUGAAAAAUUAUAAUAUUUAUAACCUUAAGAUAUUUAAUAUAAUUUUAAACUUCAUUAAAUAAAUGAAAAAUACAGACUGUAUUAGAUAUUUUAUUACAAAUAAAUAUAAUA
RNA transcript from Poecile atricapillus (Black-capped chickadee), 2910 nucleotides. It is a transcript of the gene named major facilitator superfamily domain containing 1, with no coding region annotated. Lineage: Eukaryota; Metazoa; Chordata; Aves; Passeriformes; Paridae. The record is from RefSeq and is a predicted model, not a curated record. The transcript is spliced from 17 exons.